This 254-nucleotide ribosomal RNA is filed under the name uncultured bacterium. RNAcentral's name for it is "partial 16S ribosomal RNA". It matches the Rfam family "Bacterial small subunit ribosomal RNA", at positions 524 to 776 of the family's 1533-position model. The record is from RNAcentral.
UACGUAGGGGCCUAGCGUUGUCCGGAUUUAUUGGGCGUAAAGAGCUCGUAGGCGGUUUGGUGAGUCGGGGGUGAAAUCUCCACGCUCAACGUGGAGGGGCCACCCGAUACUGCCAUGACUAGAGUCCGGUAGGGGAGUGUGGAAUUCCCGGUGUAGCGGUGAAAUGCGUAGAUAUUGGGAGGAACACCAGUGGCGAAGGCGGCUCACUGGACCGGAACUGACGCUGAGGCGCGAAAGCGUGGGGAGCAAACAGG